GACGGAGGAUGCAAGCGUUAUCCGGAAUUAUUGGGCGUAAAGCGUCCGUAGGCGGUUUCAAAAGUCUGUUGUUAAAGCCCACAGCUCAACUGUGGAUCGGCAAUGGAAACUGUGAGACUAGAGAGUGGUAGGGGUAGAGGGAAUUCCUAGUGUAGCGGUGAAAUGCGUAGAUAUUAGGAAGAACACCAGUGGCGAAGGCGACUACCUGGACCAGCACUGACACUGAGGCACGAAAGCGUGGGGAGCAAACAGG
Molecule: ribosomal RNA, 253 nt
Filed under: uncultured bacterium
Lineage: Bacteria
Description: partial 16S ribosomal RNA
Rfam family: Bacterial small subunit ribosomal RNA
Source: RNAcentral